UUGAAUCUCCAUGAUGCUAUUAAUAUUUCAGUGCCAGAUAAGUUAACUCAUACUAAAAUAAACAUUUUUACCUCAAAAAAGAUCUUUAAGCAAAUAUUGAAUUCUAAUUAAUUACAAAUUACAGAUAAAUAAUUACAAAUUAUUUUAGGUUAUGUAUUUGUAAUUAUUCAUAAUAAAAUAUUGGCCAAAAAGACUUUAUUAGAAACAGCAUUUCACGCCAUGCAAAGGUUUUCAGUAUGAAGAUACAGAUCCUACAAUAACUUCACAAUCAUGCUACUGCGAUUUCACUCACAUCUCUGAAUUUUUCUCUUCGACAUUCCAGCUUGUCCCCAUGGGCCAAGUACCAUCAUAUUCUCUACCACAGGGCAGUGGUGUUCUGAAAGGUUUAUUCUCUUUCUCAUCCUAGUCAUCCACAGUACCCACUGCACACCCUUCCUUAUUUAUGUGCUAAAAAAAACCAGAACUUCUUCAGAGCUGAUUAACAAUUCAGAGGGAUGGCUAUGUAGACCCACAUAUCGUAAGCAGUGACCUAACUGUGGCAUAUUCUUACAACAGCAAUUGUGCAAAUUCAGUCAGAGGGAGACAACUUCUCUUACACCCUGCUUCUCUGUGUGCCAGUUUAUGUUUUCUAAAACGGUUCCAACAGUACCUCUGGGCCCACGUGCUCUUCCAGACACGACCUUUUUCCUCUCCUCAAACCCGGUUCAAUGAAUAGAAUGUGGCAGAAGUAUUAAUGUUGCCUAGUGUCAAAGGCUUGGAGAAGGCAAUGGCAGCCCACUCCAGGGUUCUUGCCUGGAGAAUCCCAGGGACGGGGGAGCCUGGUGGGCUGCCGUCUAUGGGGUCGCACAGAGUCGGACACGACUGAGCGACUUGGCAGCAGCAGUGUCAAAGGCUAGACGAUCAUUUUCUACCUACUCUUAAUCUCUCUCUCUCAACUCUCUCUCAGCAUGCUCACUCUUGGAACCCAGCCACCAUGCUUCAAGAAGCCCAAACCAGCUCAUGCAGAAAGAUCACAUGGAGAGGCCCAUUAGAACAAGGAAUGAGGUCUUCAGCCUACAGCCAGCCUAAACUGCCAGCCAUGAGCAGAGAAGUGGGGGCCAGUCUGUAACACCGAGGAUAGAGCUAAGUGCGCAUGCUCAGCUUCUUCUCCCAACCUCUAAUCUGAAGACUCCCUCCUCCUCCAAACAGAAUGAGGGCCUGGAAAAGGCAUGCACAGUGUUAGAGCUGCUGAGCGACUUCCACCCAGAAACAGGAAUGUCAUACCUCCCACCACAUUAUUAUUAAAGAUUUAUUAUGUUUCUUUAACUUUUUUCUACUUUAACCUUGUCCUAAGCAAAAAUUCUCAUGAAAUUGGGGAUUUGAUUAACUAAUUAUACAUUUUUCUGCUAUACAUGAAAAUAAGUACUGUUUUAAUCAACUAUUAAAAGUUGUUGGUCCGUGUACCACUUUAAAUAA
Long non-coding RNA from Bubalus bubalis (water buffalo), 1455 nucleotides. RefSeq lists it as uncharacterized. The record is from RefSeq and is a predicted model, not a curated record. The transcript is spliced from 2 exons. Lineage: Eukaryota; Metazoa; Chordata; Mammalia; Artiodactyla; Bovidae.